This 322-nucleotide ribosomal RNA is filed under the name uncultured bacterium. Its description in RNAcentral is "bacterial SSU rRNA". It matches the Rfam family "Bacterial small subunit ribosomal RNA", at positions 28 to 334 of the family's 1533-position model. The record is from RNAcentral.
GACGAACGCUGGCGGCGUGCCUAACACAUGCAAGUCGAGCGGAACCAUCCAAAAGGUCCCUUCGGGGUGAAUUUGGGGAAGCUUAGCGGCGGACGGGUGAGUAACGCGUGAGUAACCUGCCUGUAAGAGGGGGAUAACACAGAGAAAUUUGUGCUAAUACCGCAUACGACCUGAGGGUGAAAGUGGGGGACCGCAAGGCCUCAUGCUAUAGGAGCGGCCGAUGUCUGAUUAGCUAGUUGGUGAGGUAAAGGCUCACCAAGGCGACGAUCAGUAGCUGGUCUGAGAGGACGAUCAGCCACACUGGGACUGAGACACGGCCCAG